UAUGUGAUCGUCUCUCGCAUAUCAAUAAGCGGAGGAAAAGAAACUAACAAGGAUUCCCCUAGUAACGGCGAGUGAGGCGGGAAGAGCUCAAAUUUGAAAUCUUAAAGGGUUUCCCUUUACGAAUUGUAGUUUAAAGAAGUGUUUUCUGUUGAGGUUUUGGUAAAAGUUCUUUGGAAUAGGACAUCAUAGAGGGUGAGAAUCCCGUAUUUGACCUUUACUUUCAACUUUGUGAUACACUUUCAAAGAGUCGGAUUGUUUGGGAAUGCAGUCCAAAAUGGGUGGUAAAUUUCAUCUAAAGCUAAAUAUUGGCGAGAGACCGAUAGCGAACAAGUACCGUGAGGGAAAGAUGAAAAGAACUUUGAAAAGAGAGUUAAACAGUACGUGAAAUUGUCAAAAGGGAAGCGUUUGACACCAGUGUUGUUUUUCUGAAAAUCAAUUAAAGAACUGUUUAUGCUAAGCUGUUUAGACUUUAUCAGCUAACUGUUUAGUUUUGAGCUUUUCUUUAAUGCACUUUUCAGUUAACAAGUCAACAUCAAUUUCUUUUGCUGUAAAAAAGCUUGAGGAAGGUGGCUUGAGAUUCGUCUUAAGUGUUUAUAGCCUCUUGCCUAUGCAGUCGGAGAGAUUGAGGUCUGCAGCGUAGAUCCUUCGGGGCUAAAUGCAUUUGUGCUAAGUUAUAGCAUUUUAUAGACAACUUGUUGACUAUGAUUUGUCUUGUAGCUUACUCGCUUAUGUUAUUUUACCUACGCUUAGGAUGUUGACUGAUAUGUAGUCGU
Molecule: ribosomal RNA, 773 nt
Filed under: uncultured Neocallimastigales
Lineage: Eukaryota; Fungi; Neocallimastigomycota; Neocallimastigomycetes; Neocallimastigales
Description: partial large subunit ribosomal RNA
Rfam family: Eukaryotic large subunit ribosomal RNA
Source: RNAcentral